UGAAGAAGACGCAUCUUGUCAAGGCUGCUGGCUCCGGCGGACAAAGGCGGGAGCGGCUGCUGCGCGAGAACCGACGUGAGCUGUGUGCGGUGGUGUCAUAAGGAGCCUGUCCAUCUCCACUAGAGUUAUCCCAAGUUUCACUUCACAUCGUGAUGUUGUUUUACCUUUUUUUUCUUGUCGUCGUCCCGCUGCCUGCUAUAACGGACAGCGCUCCCUGUUGGCGCCGACGCCGGCGGGGGUGGUGCCCUGGCGGCGGAGGGUGUAUGUCCUCUGCCGCCGGGUGCUCCCCUGCUUGUACCUAGAUGGUUGGUUACUCUUUCCGUCCAUUGUCACCGGCUAACAUUGUGAUAAUAUCAGUCUGGGUAAUGUUAGAUUAAGCUGUUGUUUGUGUCCCAUGGCAUGCAUUCGCGCGUAUGAUUUGCUCCUCAUUAUGCUUGCUUGGUUGGUUC
Molecule: long non-coding RNA, 449 nt
Filed under: Triticum aestivum (bread wheat)
Lineage: Eukaryota; Viridiplantae; Streptophyta; Magnoliopsida; Poales; Poaceae
Description: long non-coding RNA (TAES_LNC018833)
Source: RNAcentral